Molecule: small RNA, 550 nt
Filed under: Pan troglodytes (chimpanzee)
Lineage: Eukaryota; Metazoa; Chordata; Mammalia; Primates; Hominidae
Description: retained intron
Source: RNAcentral
CGACGACCAGGGCUUGCAGCUGGUGUACAGGACGGAGGUGGUGAAGAACAACCUGAACCCAGUGUGGGAGGCCUUCAAGGUCUCUCUGAGUUCCCUCUGCAGCUGCGAGGAGACAAGGCCUCUAAAGUGCCUGGUCUGGGAUUACGACUCUCGAGGAAAGCACGACUUCAUCGGAGAAUUCUCCACCACCUUCGAGGAGAUGCAGAAGGCCUUUGAGGAGGGGCAGGCCCAGUGGGACUGUGUGAACCCCAAAUACAAGCAGAAGAGACGCAGUUAUAAGAACUCAGGAGUGGUCGUCCUGGCUGACCUCAAGUUCCACAGGGUGUACUCCUUCCUGGACUAUAUCAUGGGCGGCUGCCAGAUCCACUUCACCACAAAACGUGAACGAGGAGAAGCUGGAGUGAGCGUUUGAGUGAACCAGCCACAGUCUCUACGUGUCAUCCAAGGAGCCCGGCACAGACCCCGUGUCACCCCCAUGUCACCCGCAGACCCCGCGUCACCCACAGAUACGCACACCCCGUGUCACCCCCACAGCACCCCCGUGUCACCC